This 471-nucleotide ribosomal RNA is filed under the name uncultured bacterium. RNAcentral's name for it is "SSU rRNA". It matches the Rfam family "Bacterial small subunit ribosomal RNA", at positions 26 to 518 of the family's 1533-position model. The record is from RNAcentral.
AGAACGAACGCUGGCGGCAUGCCUAACACAUGCAAGUCGAACGCUUCACCGGUUUCGGCCGGUGGGGAGUGGCGCACGGGUGAGUAGCGCGUGGGAACCUGCCCUGUUGUGGGGGAUAACCGAGGGAAACUUCGGCUAAUACCGCAUAAGCCGGUUGUCUUGAAAGAGAUGGCCGGGAAAGAUUUAUCGCGACAGGAGGGGCCCGCGUCGGAUUAGCUAGUUGGUGGGUAACGGCCCACAAGGCUGUGAUCCGUAGCUGGUCUGAGAGGAUGAUCAGCCACACUGGGACUGAGACACGGCCCAGACUCCUACGGGAGGCAGCAGUGGGGAAUAUUGGACAAUGGGCGCAAGCCUGAUCCAGCAAUGCCGCGUGAGUGAUGAAGGCCUUAGGGUUGUAAAGCUCUUUCGCCCGCGACGAUGAUGACGGUAGCGGGAGAAGAACGCCCCGGCUAACUUCGUGCCAGCAGCCGC